RNAcentral lists this ribosomal RNA (460 nucleotides) under uncultured bacterium. Its description in RNAcentral is "partial 16S ribosomal RNA". It matches the Rfam family "Bacterial small subunit ribosomal RNA", at positions 338 to 795 of the family's 1533-position model. The record is from RNAcentral.
GCUACGGGUGGCAGCAGUGAGGAAUAUUGGUCAAUGGCCGUAAGGCUGAACCAGCCAAGUAGCGUGAGGGAAGACUGCCCUAUGGGUUGUAAACCUCUUUUAUGCGGGGAUAAAGGUGUCCACGUGUGGAUGUUUGCAGGUACCGCAUGAAUAAGGACCGGCUAAUUCCGUGCCAGCAGCAGCGGUAAUACGGAAGGUCCGGGAGUUAUCCGGAUUUAUUGGGUGUAAAGGGAGCGUAGUCGGGUCUUUAAGCGGGCCGUGAAAUUUUGUGGCUCAACCAUGAGAGUGCGGGGCGAACUGGAGACCGUGAGUGCGGGUAAGGCAGGCGGAAUUCGUGGUGUAGCGGUGAAAUGCUUAGAUAUCACGAAGAACCCCGAUUGCGAAGGCAGCCUGCCGCAGCGUAACUGACGCUGAAGCUCGAAAGCGCGGGUAUCGAACAGGAUUAGAUACCCCAGUAGGC